Molecule: ribosomal RNA, 427 nt
Filed under: uncultured eukaryote
Lineage: Eukaryota
Description: bacterial SSU rRNA
Rfam family: Eukaryotic small subunit ribosomal RNA
Source: RNAcentral
AGAGGGAGCCCGAGAAACGGCUACCACUUCCAAGGAAGGCAGCAGGCGCGCAACUUACCCUAAUCUCGAUUCGAGGAGGUAGUGACAAGAAAUACCGAUGCGGGACCCUACGGGUGCCGCGUUCGGAAUGAGUACGAUUCGAACCACCUAACGAGGAACGAUCGGAGGGCAAGUCUGGUGCCAGCAGCCGCGGUAAUUCCAGCUCCAAUAGCGUACGUUAAAGUUGCUGCAGUUAAAAAGCUCGUAGUUGAACGUUCGGGUUCCGCGGGACGGGGCCGCCCCGCGAGGGACGGCGCCGCCCCGGGGCUCGUGAUAUCUUAUCUCGCCGCCCGUCGCGAGGCGGACGGAGGGAUGGAUGAGGUUACCUGGAAAAAAUCGGGGCGAUCUAGGCGGGCGAACCUCGCCAACGAACGAUCGGACAUGGGAU